RNAcentral lists this ribosomal RNA (514 nucleotides) under Panorpa vulgaris. RNAcentral describes it as "partial 16S ribosomal RNA". Lineage: Eukaryota; Metazoa; Arthropoda; Insecta; Mecoptera; Panorpidae. The record is from RNAcentral.
AUGUAAGGAUUCAAAGGUCGAACAGACCUAAACUUUGAACUUCUACACCCAAAAAUAACCCUUAAUCCAACAUCGAGGUCGCAAUCUUUUUUGUCGAUAUGAACUCUCAAAAAAAAUUACGCUGUUAUCCCUAAGGUAACUUAGUCUUAUAAUCAAUAAUAUUGGAUCAAUAAUUCAAUAAUUUUUGUAAAAAUAAAAAAAAAAGAGUUUUAUAAAUCUUCCUGUCACCCCAACAAAAUAUUUAAUUUAAUAAAAUUUAAAAAUUUCUAUAAAUAAAUUAUUAUACAAAUAUAAAGUUCUAUAGGGUCUUCUCGUCCUUUAAUUACAUUUAAGCCUUUUAACUUAAAAGUUAAAUUAUAAUUUCAUUUAAAUUGAGACAGUUAACACCUCGUUCAAUCAUUCAUUCUAGCCCUCAAUUAAAAGACUAAUUAUUAUGCUACCUUUGCACGGUCAAAAUACCGCGGCCCUUUAAAUCAUCAGAGGGCAGAUUAGACUUUAAAUUAUUUUCUAAAAG